Molecule: long non-coding RNA, 5392 nt
Filed under: Sus scrofa (pig)
Lineage: Eukaryota; Metazoa; Chordata; Mammalia; Artiodactyla; Suidae
Description: lncRNA (ENSSSCG00060010934.1)
Source: RNAcentral
AUGCUUAACGUGAGAUGAGGGAGGCAUGGGGGGAAUGGCAGUGGAGUGGGAAUUAGGGGACCCAGAUCCACCACUGCUGACUCUCUACAACACCCAGGGAAAGUAGAGAACCCUGUGCUUGUGCUUUGAAGGCCUGUGACUUCUUUGAGCUGCUCUGAGAUUCAGAGGAAAAAAAUGAAUAUGUUAGUGUUUUGCAGAUUGCAAAGAACCUGUGAAAGGAGAAAACCACAUUAAGAGCAUCACACAAAAUCCAACUCUUUGCUCAAUCCUGAGACUGUUUGUAUUGGAAUGCUGCUGCAUGUAUAUCGGAUAUCAUAUUUGAUCCUUGGUGGAUAGAACAUGACUUGUCCUAAUCCUAAUAUAAUUACUGUUCCUUGGUCUCUUUGCCGCCUUCUUCUUCUUCUUUUUUUAAAUUUUUUGGCCACACCUGCAGCAUGUGGAAGUUCCUGGGCUAGGGAGCAAACCCACGCCACAGCAGUGACUGAGCCACAGCAGUGACAAGGCAGGAUCCUUAAUCUGCUAAGCCACCAGAGAUCUCCACUUUGCCUUCUGGAUGGGAUUGUGCCUUUCAGAUUACUAAUCACCACUUUACUUUGCAAAAAUGCUUUUCAAACAUUCUUAAGUGAUUUCUUUUAAUAGCAUUCAAAGGUACGUCAUUAGGAUUUUAGAGCACCUCACGGUUGAGGGAGGUAGCCACAGGGCAACUAAGGCUAUGCCUACAGACAUUGCAAAUAUGGAGCAUAUGAGGGAGAGGGGGGCUUUAUUGCAGAGCUGCUGAUGUGGCCACUUUCUCUUCUUUCAAACUUCUUGUCAGAUUUAUGGCAAUUUAUUGUAAAAGAGCACUCAAGAGACAACUAUCUUAAAGUGAUAUUUUAACUUAGUUAUUGAAAAUUCAGAUAUGCUCUAGGGGGAUGAUUGGUUGGGGAGCCUAUUUAUAGCAAGUCAGCAAAAAUAUCUUAUAAGUGAUAUGGUACAGCUAGCUUCAUGCAAUCCACAGAAACACAAGGUCGGGCAUGAAUCACAUAUAUUGCAGCCUCCUCCAUGGGGAUUCAAUUACCUAUAGGUCCUUAUUAUAAUGUGACUUUACAGAACUAUGAUCUUAAGAUAGAGUAGAAUACUUUAUCACAAAGGACUACACAGUCAUCAUUCGGAAGAGGUACUGGAAUCAUUCACAGAGGCAGGACCAUGAGACAGUAUGAGAGGCCAGAAUUUGAGAAUGAGGAAUGUCCUAAGCAGACAAGAAAGGAAGUCAGAGCCAGAUUCUAGAGGUCAGAGGGGAACAAUAGGUCAGGAACCGGGGAGUUUGCAGAUGAGAACAGAGGACAUGGACACUGAGAAGCCCCAGGAGACAAGUCAGGCAGGAGGCUAACCAGGAAACCAGGGGAGUGAGGCAAAGUGAACCAGAGGGAUGGAGCUAGACCUCAUUAAGUAUUGACAGUGCUGGACAAUUUCCCUCAGAAAAUCUGCUGGCACCUUUAGUCUGCUCUGGUUUCUAUAACGAUACACCAUAGACCAGAUGGUUUAAAUGAGAGACAUUUGCUUCUCACAGUUCUGGAGGCUGAGAAGUCCAACAUCAAGGUGCCAGCAGAUUUGCUGUCUGUUGAGGACUCUCUUCCUGGCUUACAGACAGCUGCCUUCUUGCUGUGUCCUGAGAUGGUUGAAAGAGAAAGAAAGAUCAUCUCUUGUGUCUCUACCUAAAGGACAUUAAGUCUAUCAUGAUGGCUGUACGCUUAGGACCUAAUCACCUCUCCUCAAAGGCCCCCCCCCCAAAUAACACCACAGUGGGGCUUCAACACAUGAAUUUUAGGGGCAAUACAUUGGUUCAUAACACUCUUUAUGGAGGUAUUAGAUGCCUGUAACCAAGGUCUGUCAUUCUUUUCAGUUCCUCAUCGCUUGAGCCCCACGUCACUGUCUCCAGUGUGAUGCAUUCUCUGCUAUAGGGUUCUUGUGGGAGUCAGAACCCACCUACCAUUAUGAGAACUAAAGAUACCAGGUCCUGGUUUUCUGAGUUUCCCUUGUAGUAAAGUCAUGAUCACGUGACCUGGGCUUUGCAACUUCAUACGCUGGCAUGGUUUGAACUAGGGGCUGGGGACACCAAGAAGCAGGGAGGCAGAGAAUCCUCUGGUGGUGAGGGCAGCCUGACUGUGUCCCUAGCAUAGGGAGGGCUACAGUGCUGGUGUAUUGCUGGCUGCAACAUGCUAAGAUUCCAUGGCUGCAGUGGUGGCUGCACAAUCUGCGAUGUCCCCUGCUUGGGAGAUACCCUUCACUUGGAGCUGGGCAACUGUUCUGCUGUGGGAUUUGGUGAUGCCUGGCCUGGCUCUCCAGACCUCUCCAUGAGCUGCUUAUUAUCCUUUUCACAAAGUGCUCUUUUUGCUUAAUUCAGCUACAGGUGAUUGCCUUUGCAUGCCACCAACAAUCCUACCUAAGGCAUUGUUAUGCUUGAAAUAGCAAACAGACAAAAAGCAAACAAAGCAAUCAAAAAACCCAGCACCAGGAAUGUUAGUAAAUAAUAAGAUAAUAAUAGCUCUUGCUUAUUAAUUUCCCCCUGCUUCUUUAAGCUAUAAGGCAAUAGCCUAUAUAAGGCAGUUCUGUUUCAGGCCCUCUUUUCCCUCCCACUAUAAUCUCUGUUGAGGACAGACCAUCACUAAGCCCCAAAGGGCUGGAUUCCCAGAAUUCCUGAGUCUUCCCUAAGGCCCUGGGCUGUGUUGGCUUGAGAAUGGAGUCUUGCCUUACACUAGACUCCAGAAUGGAGACUGGCAUUCCUUUUGGUCACUUCUAGAGCCACUCACCAGGGCUUGGCCUUGCUUCUUUUCUCCCUUGACUUAAAAGAGUUCUGCAAAACCUGAACUCUAUCUGGUGUUCUCAUAAUUUCUGUUUUUCACUUCCAAAGCUAAGACUUCCUUCUGUCCUCCCCCUACCUCUCCAGGCCCUGGCUGGCCAGCUCUCCUCUCGGUGCUGACCUGGAUCUGGGACUUGCUUUGCUCAUGGAUUCUCUGUCUCCCCUCAAGGUAUUCCUGCUUCUGACCUUGCCCCUCUCCCCUCAUUAGUGUCCCGGUGAAAGUCCCCUCCCACCCCAGUGUGCUCCCAGCAAUGCUGCAGGAGACCCCACCCCCCAUGGGGAGGGGUUGGGGGCUGGGGAGGGUAGAUUCUGACAAGCACGAAGACAACGCUGAAUCUUAGGCACCGUCUUGUCCUGGCCAGAAUCUCUUUAUGUGCUUCCUGCUGAUCCCUAUGCUGGAGAAAAACGGAACAAGAUCAAAGCCAAGAGCAAAGACUGACAAUUGUGAUUUUCCUCUGAUUACCUAGGAUGAACAUAAAAGAUAAAUUUCAUUUCAGGCAUUAGAAAAAAGGGGUGAAGAAAGCGGAGCUUUAAAGGUGGAGAGAGAGAGAAGAAAUAUCAAAUAAAAAUCUGAUAUAACAGCUUCAAAUACCCCAUCUGCUACCGGCAUCCAAAAAUCCUUGGGAGGUACUGGCUAGUUUUUGUUAUUAUACGAAAUAAAUGGAAAAGAAAAAUUAUGACUAGAGGGAAAUGGAGACAGAACUCUGACUUAAUUAUUUAUGUUUAUUAUCAAAAUGGUCAUCCUCAAUUUAUCCACUAUGAUCAACACACAGCUUGUAAUGCAAUUCUUUUGUUUUUUGCUUUUUUUUUUUUUUGCUUUUUAGGGCUGCAUAUGGAAAUUCCCAGGCUAGGGCUUGAAUUGGAGGUAUAGCUACCGGCCUACACCACAGCCACAGCAACAUGGGAUCCAAGCAGGGUCUGUGACCUACACCACAGCUCACAGCAAUGCUGGAUCCCUGACCCAUUGAUUGCAGCCAGGGAUCAAACCCACAUCCUCAUGGAUACUAGUCAGAUUCGUUUCUGCUGGGCCACAACAGGAACUCGUGCAAUUCUUUUUAUACUUACAUUUGUGCCUAACUCUUAAUCUCAUCAGUGGUCAAAUUCGCCAGGAAAUACACAUCUUUGCUGGAUAAGGAGAGGCUCAUCUAAUAAGUUGGCAACCACACAUGCCUCAUAUCCUGUAUUAUUUUAAUUGUGCUGACUGCAGGAGUCUCUGCAUAUGUUUAGCUUAGAUGAAAUCGGUCUAAUGAGGUAAGACUCAAGUAGUUUUAAUUAGUUUGUGUGAAAAUGUAGGCUUUUCAUGCUGUGUUGUGUGGGCUCAUCUCUGAAAGAAAGAGCAAUGCAUCUUUUUUUUUUUUCUCCCUGUUUCCUGAUUACCCAACUCUCAGUACAACAUUUUCUCUUACCUGCUUAUCAAUUCAGUAAGAAAAAGUUGGAUGGCUUUACCAGCAGGUGUUGUAAAACUCUAAAAUUAGGAUCACCGAAAUUUUAUAGUAGCAAAUUAGGCCCCGUGGUGUCAGAAAGUUCUGAAUGUUCCCCUAGAAUUAUUCCCCAAAUGUCUUUGUUUUCUGGAAUUCACCAAAGCCCUUUUGUUCCUGACACACUGGAUCGGAAGGAGACCCCUGGGCUCCACUUGAUGGAACAUACCAGGUUGUGAAUAAAUUACUUCUCAAAACUUGGCUAAGUUUUGCACUCUAGAAUGCAAAUCGUUUUAAAGUUGCUUGGCCUUUAUGAGAUACUGCAGAGAGUUGGCUUCGAGAACUAGCCAAGCAAAUCCAAAAGGUAUGCCUCUCUUAACUGAGGAGAUUCAGAUGCAGGGAGUGUUUUCAGGCUGUUGUCAAAGAACUGUGGAAAAGUUUGCCUGACCUUCACAAAGCCUGAGGGACAAAAGAAGAAACUGCUUAGGGAUUUUUUUGUUUUUCUAUUUUAAUUGGUCCCCAAUCAGGUUCAUGUCCAGUUUUCUUAAUAGACAGUGAUGGCUGUUAUGCUCAAUUUUUGAUAAUUCUUCUGGCUUAGAAUUCCACUUCUGUUCCAACUACUGGGACCAGAGGUGGUAUGCUAGGAAGGCUUCCUAGUUGCAGAAAGGGAUUAUCUCUGGUUUGAGCAGAAAUGGAAUUUGGUAAAAGGGCAUCAGAGAGCCCACAGAGGCUGGAGAAUGUAGAAAUGGUUCAAUAGCAAAAGGAGAGCAGGGGUCAGAGCCCCAGUACAAGCUCAGGGAGAGGCUGGCCAGAGCCCCUGUAUGACACUGCUAUGGCCAGGGGAAGCCAAAUGCUGGUUUCAGGCUGCUGCUGACACCACCCUCAGGGAGACGUCUUCGAGGUCCCCAACUUCUUGCAUUGCUUACUCCAGAGCAAAAUUCUAGGGGGGAAUCAUCUAAUGGGCUCCAAGCUAUAGCUGCCUGGCCUGUGGGAAAACACCUGUCUACAUUUGGGGCUUCCAUGGUGAGAUGACGUCUUACCAACUACCCCGGGUCACAUGAUGGCAGAUUCCUCAACCAUAGGAGGUACAGUCAGAUGGUAAACAGCCAAAAAAAAAAAAAAAAAAAAAAAAAAG